Molecule: ribosomal RNA, 407 nt
Filed under: uncultured bacterium
Lineage: Bacteria
Description: partial 16S ribosomal RNA
Rfam family: Bacterial small subunit ribosomal RNA
Source: RNAcentral
AUUGAACGCUGGCGGCAGGCAUAACACAUGCCAGUAGAGCGGAGCGGCGGACGGGUGAGUAAUGCCUAGGAAUCUGCCUGGUAGUGGGGGAUAACGUCCGGAAACGGGCGCUAAUACCGCAUACUAUCAGAUGAGCCUAGGUCGGAUUAGCGAGUUUGUGGGGUAAAGGCCUACCAAGGCGACGAUCCGUAACUGGUCUGAGAGGAUGAUCAGUCACACUGAAACGUUGACACGGGCCAGCUUCCUACGGGAGGCAUCAGUGGGGAAUAUUGUACAAGUGGCGAAAGCCGGAUCCAGCCAUGCCGCGUGUGUGAAGAAGGUCUUCGGAUUGUAAAGCACUUUAAGUUGGGAGGCGUUACCAACAGAAUAAGCACCGGCUAACUUCGUGCCAGCAGCCGCGGUAAUUC